GCGAGCGGAUCCCCUUCGGGGGUGAAGCUCGUGGAACGAGCGGCGGACGGGUGAGUAACACGUGGGCAACCUACCUGUAAGAUCGGAAUAACCCCGGGAAACCGGGGCUAAUGCCGGGUAAUACUUUUCUUCGCAUGAAGGAAAGUUGAAAGAUGGCCUCUGGCUAUCACUUACAGAUGGGCCCGCGGCGCAUUAGCUAGUUGGUGAGGUAACGGCUCACCAAGGCGACGAUGCGUAGCCGACCUGAGAGGGUGAUCGGCCACACUGGGACUGAGACACGGCCCAGACUCCUACGGGAGGCAGCAGUAGGGAAUCUUCCGCAAUGGACGAAAGUCUGACGGAGCAACGCCGCGUGAACGAUGAAGGUCUUCGGAUCGUAAAGUUCUGUUGUUAGGGAAGAACAAGUGCCGUGCGAAUAGAACGGCACCUUGACGGUACCUAACGAGGAAGCCCCGGCUAACUACGUGCCAGCAGCCGCGGUAAUACGUAGGGGGCAAGCGUUGUCCGGAAUUAUUGGGCGUAAAGCGCGCGCAGGCGGUUCCUUAAGUCUGAUGUGAAAGCCCACGGCUCAACCGUGGAGGGUCAUUGGAAACUGGGGAACUUGAGGACAGAAGAGGAGA
Molecule: ribosomal RNA, 620 nt
Filed under: Halobacillus sp. YIM 94289
Lineage: Bacteria; Bacillati; Bacillota; Bacilli; Caryophanales; Bacillaceae
Description: bacterial SSU rRNA
Rfam family: Bacterial small subunit ribosomal RNA
Source: RNAcentral